AGAGACAGCAGUAGCCACGGUAAGACAGAGGAUGCAAGCGUUAUCCGGAAUGAUUGGGCGUAAAGGGAGCGCAGGCGGUUUAGUAAGUCUGAAGUUAAAGGCAUUGGCUCAACCAAUGUAUGCUUUGGAAACUGUUAGACUUGAGUGCAGAAGGGGAGAGUGGAAUUCCAUGUGUAGCGGUGAAAUGCGUAGAUAUAUGGAGGAACACCGGUGGCGAAAGCGGCUCUCUGGUCCGUCACUGACGCUGAGGCUCGAAAGCGUGGGUAGCGAACAGGAUUAGAUACCCCGGUAGUCCCUGUCUCUUAUACA
This 309-nucleotide ribosomal RNA is filed under the name uncultured bacterium. RNAcentral's name for it is "partial 16S ribosomal RNA". It matches the Rfam family "Bacterial small subunit ribosomal RNA", at positions 504 to 808 of the family's 1533-position model. The record is from RNAcentral.